GAGCUGGGAAGGGAAAAGAAGGAAGGAAGAAAAGUAAAAAGAAAAGGAUCUUCUGGACGGUGCACCACAGCUGUCUCCAGUUGCUGGAAAUGAUGGCUGCAGUCAGCUCACAACUGAGACCUUCUCUGGGCACAGCCCAGGGCCCCAGGGAAAUGUCUCACCCAAAGUUGUCCCCACUCCCCAGAGGUAGCCCACAUCUAAUGACCUGUCAGUGGGAGAGUUUGGAGGUCUGCUUCCUUGCCACAACUCAGAAUAACUCUGGAAGGCUACCCCAGCCCCAAAGCCUCUCAUAGGAUCGCCUGGUCUUCUAUUGUAACAGCAGCUCUCCUUCUCUCCGGUUCUUUACUUCCUGACAGAUGUUAAUCUUUAGAGCACUCCUCAGUAAACUUCCUGCACACAAAUGUCCUCUCAGGGUUUGAUUCUGGGGAAUCCCACCCGAGAGACUCUUUCUCUCUCUUUUAAAAAAAUCUAGUCCCUUAUCAUUCAGCUUUCGAGUAGAGCUUUGUCAGAGAGAAUUCAGUAUAUUGGCCGCCAUAAGACCUUAACUUAGGCUGAAAGCUUCUCAUUUUUGUAAUCUCCAUAUCUCAAGAAUCCUGUACUGGGUCUGUUCUGUAACAAGAUUAUCCAUAAAUGGGUAUUGAUGGAUGAA
Molecule: long non-coding RNA, 649 nt
Organism: Leopardus geoffroyi (Geoffroy's cat)
Lineage: Eukaryota; Metazoa; Chordata; Mammalia; Carnivora; Felidae
Exons: 2
Source: RefSeq, a predicted model, not a curated record